Molecule: ribosomal RNA, 380 nt
Filed under: uncultured eukaryote
Lineage: Eukaryota
Description: partial 18S ribosomal RNA
Rfam family: Eukaryotic small subunit ribosomal RNA
Source: RNAcentral
CAAUAGCGUAUAUUAAAGUUGUUGCAGUUAAAAAGCUCGUAGUUGGAUUUGUGGCGUACGGUGUGUUCCGGGCACUUGUUGUCUGAGUAACCUGCUGUUGCCAUCCUUGGGUGGAACCUGUGUGGCAUUAGGUUGUCGUGCAGGGGAUGCCCAUCAUUUACUGUGAAAAAAUUAGAGUGUUCAAAGCAGGCUUAUGCCGUUGAAUAUAUUAGCAUGGAAUAAUGAGAUAGGACUUUUUUGCUGUUUUGUUGGUUUGCGCAAAGAGGUAAUGAUUAAUAGGGACAGUUGGGGGUAUUCGUAUUCCAUUGUCAGAGGUGAAAUUCUUGGAUUUUUGGAAGACGAACUACUGCGAAAGCAUUUACCAAGGACGUUUUCAUUAA